CAUCACUACGCUAGAUGCAUAUCAAUAAGCGGAGGAAAAGAAACUAACAAGGAUUCCCCUAGUAACGGCGAGUGAAGCGGGAAGAGCUCAAGUUUGAAAUCUUAAAGGGUUUCCCUUUACGAAUUGUAGUUUAAAGAAGUGUUUUCUGUUGGAGUUUCGGUAAAAGUUCUUUGGAAUAGGACAUCAUAGAGGGUGAGAAUCCCGUAUUUGACCGUUACUUUCCAGCUGUGUGAUACACUUUCAAAGAGUCGGAUUGUUUGGGAAUGCAGUCCAAGAUGGGUGGUAAAUUUCAUCUAAAGCUAAAUAUUGGCGAGAGACCGAUAGCGAACAAGUACCGUGAGGGAAAGAUGAAAAGAACUUUGAAAAGAGAGUUAAACAGUACGUGAAAUUGUCAAAAGGGAAGCGUUUGACACCAGUGUUGUUUAGUUGAAAAUCAAUUCAAUAGUUUUUGAUUCUAAGUAGUAUUGACUUCAUCAGCUUGCUGCUUUCUUCUCAGAAAUUAUUGAAUGCACUUUUCAGUUAACAAGUCAACAUCAAUUUCUUUUGUUGUAAAAGGGUAAGAGGAAGGUGGCUUACGUUUCGGCGUAAGUGUUUAUAGCCUUUUACCUCUGCAAUCGGAGAGAUUGAGGACAGCAGCGUAGACUCCUUCUGGGGUUAGAUACACUUGUGCUAAGCUAUAGCCUUGUAUAGACAACUUAUUGACUAUGCUCAGUCAUGUAGCUUACUCGCUUGUGCUAUUUUACCUACGCUUAGGAUGUUGAAGAUAUGCGCGACACG
This 777-nucleotide ribosomal RNA is filed under the name uncultured Neocallimastigales. Its description in RNAcentral is "partial large subunit ribosomal RNA". It matches the Rfam family "Eukaryotic large subunit ribosomal RNA", at positions 20 to 644 of the family's 3401-position model. Lineage: Eukaryota; Fungi; Neocallimastigomycota; Neocallimastigomycetes; Neocallimastigales. The record is from RNAcentral.